Molecule: long non-coding RNA, 1297 nt
Organism: Gymnogyps californianus (California condor)
Lineage: Eukaryota; Metazoa; Chordata; Aves; Accipitriformes; Cathartidae
Exons: 3
Source: RefSeq, a predicted model, not a curated record
GCAAGAGAGUGCGCUCUCCGCUUCUCCCAUGGGAGAACUGGUUUAUCACCUUCCUUGCUCAGCAUCUGCUGCUAGGAUCAGGUGCUGCUCCUCACUCCACGAUUGUAGCUCAGAUUUGUAACAUAACUGACAGCAAACGGUGAUCCCUCCAUUUUCCUAGAGACAUUUGCAGACCUGUACUUCUCCACAGCUGCAGUUCUGCUCUUGGAAAACAGCCCUUCUCCUGUCUCACUCCCAUUUGGGCACUGCACUCAGGCCCAGAACCUAAUCCUGGAUGUCUCUAACUCCUGCUAAGGACCUGGUCUGCCCCACCUUUAAAAGGCUCCAGAAGGGUGAAAUCAACCCUCUGUGGGAGCAGACCCAAAAAUAUUGGAGUAGAUGGGAAUUUUGUUGAUGGGAUCACCUCUGAGAGUCUGGAGAAAUGAUUUGCAGCCUUCCUCUGUGUGGGUCAGAAGGGACAAAUCUCAGCAACCAAGAAGCUCUCUGGCAGAUUCAGGCUUGACCUGCAAGUGGUGAAGGUUGUGUGCAACUCUCCACUCAACCUCAGACACAUCUUCACCACCUCCUGCUGAACCUGGCUGCAUGCCUCUAGCCUAAACACCCCUGUGCAGCGAUCUUCCAGCCAUCUUCCAGACCUUUGGCAUCCUCACAGAUGAAGGCACUUGUUCCCAGGUCACUUCUAGGAAAGCUUUAGGCAGGCUGCUUGUUUUUCCCCCCCACCCAGUGCUUCAAUCCUUAAUCGCCACCUGCUUAGAUCUUGGAAAUGAAUUGUUGAGGCUGUCAGGACUGUACAGCACAUAAUCAAGUGCAGACAUGUACAUAUAUACAUAUAUAUGUGGGCCGGCUUAUGUUGUGAUGCUGUAGUACAGCUUAAUUAGGACAUCAUUCAGACAUCUGGGACUAUGCCUAAGCUGGAGAUUUUUCUUUUUUUUUUUGGUUUUCUCAUUUAGGUUUUAGUCAGAUUCCCAAGUGAAAUAAACAAAAGGCUAAUUGCUUUUGGAUUUUAAUUACCACUGCAAUACCUGGGCUUAUUUAUGAAUUGUGUUUUAUAGGUGGCUAAAGGACACCACUAGCAAAUGACAGAUUCUCAGCUGACAACAGCAGUGUUUAAACCAAAGUAAUUCUUUGCAGUGGGAUCCAAAGGACAGCACGCACAUUCAUUUGUUAAACUCCUAAUUUUUUUUGUUGUAGAAUGUAACUUCAAGACUUGGCUGACUCUUAAACAUGAUAUAAUUAAGCAUGCCUGAAAAUGUGUUUAAAAAAAAAAGACAAAAGUAGAAGCACUUUAUAAUCCAGA